CCUUAAUUCUUUUGCACUUCAGUGAUGGUGUCUCUGUCUUUGUCCUAGACGGGAAGAAGUUUUGCUGCAUUUAUUCAAACCCCAGAUGAAUUAAGGAUUGUCAAAGAAUGGGCAGUAGUUCAUGAAUAUUCUGUCUGAGAAAUGUUUAUGCCUCACUGUUGUGUAGUAUAAAUUAUAUCACCUAUCAAGUUAGGUUUGGAUAACCAUCUCAAAUUGCAUGUGACUCCGUGCAGCUAUUUACCAACUGAUAUCAAAUCAUUUGGAACUUUAGAUCAGAUUUGACAUAUUUUACUAUCUCAUACCUUCAAGCUUUUAUAAUGCAUGACAUAAGUAAUCAUUAGCAUCUCCUGGGCAAGAGCUCAUGUGUUUUGAGUCCACAAAGUGGUAUUAACACAGCAAAUAAGAUUUCUUUCCUCCAACCAAAGAACAGAUGACAACAGUAAAGCAAUUAGGUAUGUCCCUAAGCUAUAUGAGAAAAGGACAGUAACAGGUGCUUUUAUUAUUCUCCUUUUUGCAAACAUGGUAUUGUGCAUCAGUACUGAGUUCAGAUAUAGAUAGCAGUGCUCUUCUGAGAGUUAGAGGGAUCUUAUGUAAGGUAUAAAGGCUGAUAUAAUAUAUUAUUAUUUAAACUGCAUUAAACACCUAGAUCCCUGUUCUUAUUAAUAUUACUUGUCCUAUUUUCAUUUUUAGUUUUUCAAAAAGCCACUCAGGAUGAGACAAUACAGGAAAAAAAAUGCACUGGUCUGUCUGUUGGCAUGAUGUUUUGAUGAAAGAAAAAGAAAGGAGAGAAAGCAACUUUUUUAAAAAUAAAGACACAUGCUGAAGAACCCUAACCCUGGUGCAAAUCCUGAAGAUGCAUGCUGGCAGCAUGCAUUGUUCCUGUAAUAGAAAGGGAAAAUGCAGCCUUCUGCUUUCCUGGAGUUCACAAAGGCACAAUGUAUAUGCUUAAGGGGGCACUCUGCUGACUACUUUUUGGAAGUUUCUUACGCUUUCUGGCUGAAGGAUCUGAUCUCAAGAGACCCAAUAACCUGAUCCUCCACUACUGAAAUUGAGAAACACUUCUGCUGUUGUCAACAAAUGUUACUUGAAUCAGGAUUGGAGCCACACACAGCAGUUUGGAAAUUAGUCCUGAUGAUAC
RNAcentral lists this long non-coding RNA (1138 nucleotides) under Struthio camelus australis. RNAcentral's name for it is "lncRNA (ENSSCUG00000002480.1)". The record is from RNAcentral. Lineage: Eukaryota; Metazoa; Chordata; Aves; Struthioniformes; Struthionidae.